GGUUGGGCGGGGCGGUCCCGGUGUAGGGGUGCCGCUCUCGUGAGCCACAGGCCUGGCCACAGAGGCUGCUGGCGCGAGGUGGAGUCACUUGAAGACUCUGGGGUCUUCUCUGGCAUUCCCCGAGCCACAGUUGGGGAAACCGAGGCCGGGAAGCUGAAAGAAAGAGACAGGGUUCACUGUCUGCCCCGCGGGCCUCCUCACAGCCCUCGCCAGUUCUCUGAGGUGAUGGCUUCUGGCCUCGGGAGUCACAGUGACAACAGUAGGAGCCACCAUUGAUUCUGCGUCUGCUGGGUGCAAAGCCGGGAGCUAACCCUUUCCUCUCGUCCUUUCACUCACCUUCACAAUAGCUCUGCGAGGUGAGUGCUCUUGUUAGUGCUAUUUACAAGGGUGGACAUUGAGGCCGAGGGAAGGUGAAAUGAUGUGCUUAAAGUCACCUAAUUGGUCAGCAUGUCUCCAACUGAGAAUUUUGACCAUCCCGCUGCACUGCCCCUCGGAGGAGUCAGAUCCGGAUUAGACAGA
Molecule: long non-coding RNA, 519 nt
Filed under: Marmota monax (woodchuck)
Lineage: Eukaryota; Metazoa; Chordata; Mammalia; Rodentia; Sciuridae
Source: RNAcentral